This is a long non-coding RNA of Betta splendens (Siamese fighting fish), 1554 nucleotides long. RefSeq lists it as uncharacterized. The record is from RefSeq and is a predicted model, not a curated record. NCBI's taxonomy places the organism in Eukaryota, Metazoa, Chordata, Actinopteri, Anabantiformes, Osphronemidae. The transcript is spliced from 2 exons.
UCUCCCCGUCUUUUAUCCGGGUAUAAAUAAACCUACGGUAUCAGCCUCCACUUCAGCGGCGGCGCGGCCACGGCAGAGCCGGCGGAGGAGCGGCGGGGGAUCCGCAGACGCACGCACGCACGCAGAGAGCGCUCUGCAAAGACGGGACGGGCGCACUGGAUACAGGUGCAGCCGCUGUGCCGGUGCCGGUGCGGGGUCAGCGGGCUCCGGGGACACCUUGCGAGUGGGGGAACGGGGCUGUGGCUUCCUCUGAUGACGCUGAGGUCGCGUCCUUGGCGGCCUGGCAUUUCUGGACAUUUAGGCGGCUUAGUAAAGAAAAAAUGCCCAACACUACACGUGAACGAAUGCUGUUGUCCCUCGGCUAUAGCAAUAGACCGAACAUGUUGCAUCAGCGGAUUGUGACAACAUGAUUUUUCCACAGAGACGCCCUAAAUACUACAUAGAAGAUAAUAAAUAUCAGUAGGUUUGUGGCUCUGGCCCAGAGGUCCACUGACCUCCUGAUCUCAUGGGCCUGUACCCAGCAGGCUCAUUAAAUAAACCAUCCAUGGCUGGGUGGACAAAACGAGCACUAGGUACAGUAAAUGUCACCUUGGGAGCUGUAAUGAGGAUUCACUCAUAUAUAUUUUAUGAACCAAUCGAUCAGUUAUGCCAUUGAUCAUGAGAUGAAUCAAUAAUAAAAAGCCUUGUUGCUAUAAACCAUCAUGAAUAUAUAUUUUUCAUCUGGCUGCUAUCUGACUAAUCAAUAAACAAGUCCUUUAUUUUAUUCCAGCGCUGCAGCAGAUCGGAUCUGUCCAGGAUCGAAACUACCUCUCACUCUAUGACAGCUGGGAUUGGCUACAGCAGGCUGCCACCCCUACCUGGAAGAGCUGCUGGGAUAAUAGAUGAAUAAGUGGAUGGAUGGAUAAUUGGAUGGACUCCUCUGAAGUACCCUGCCUUUAUGAUGAGUCUAUAACUCUUAGUUUGUGUAAGACUAAAUCAUUUCCUAAGAAGAGCUUUAGACAGAAUUAGUCAUUUGGCUCUGAUAAGAUGAGAAAUUUAAUUGGACUUUUAAUGAACUAAUUGAAAUGAUUUCUGCUGAGUCAUUCAGCCAGAGAACAGCAGGUCAGCUUCAAAAGCAAUUCAAUGUAUGCAGGGAAUGAAGUUCAUACAGUGAAUGAAUGAUUAAUGUUUUUACUUUGGUUAGAAUUGGACAAUUACUAAAGAACGUCCUCUUGUAAAUCAACAACUGCUUAUACAACCAACAAUAAUCUGUAACUGAAAUAGCUACACGUUUUUUUGUUGUUGCAGUGAAUCUUUUAAGGAAUAAAGGAAUUAUGUAAAUAUCAUUAACCGUGACUCAGGUCUGUUCAGGUAAAGCUCUGAAUCAUAAACAACCUUCAGACCCUAAAACUAAAUGAACAAGCUAAUUAAAGUCCAGGCAUCAAUAAGUUGGAUUGUUACCCCGAAUCAGCGUUCUCUAUUUACAAAAGGCUUUUUAGUGAAGUGAAAUGAUCCGAGGGGCAAAGUCAUGAUCAUGUAUCAUCUGGUUUAAUAAAGCUUAGGUCAAACAUGUCA